AGUGAACGCUGGCGGUAGGCCUAACACAUGCAAGUCGAACGGCAGCACAGUAAGAGCUUGCUCUUACGGGUGGCGAGUGGCGGACGGGUGAGGAAUACAUCGGAAUCUACUUUUUCGUGGGGGAUAACGGAGGGAAACUUACGCUAAUACCGCAUACGACCUACGGGUGAAAGCAGGGGAUCUUCGGACCUUGCGCGAUUGAAUGAGCCGAUGUCGGAUUAGCUAGUUGGCGGGGUAAAGGCCCACCAAGGCGACGAUCCGUAGCUGGUCUGGGAGGAUGAUCAGCCACACUGGAACUGAGACACGGUCCAGACUCCUACGGGAGGCAGCAGUGGGGAAUAUUGGACAAUGGGCGCAAGCCUGAUCCAGCCAUGCCGCGUGGGUGAAGAAGGCCUUCGGGUUGUAAAGCCCUUUUGUUGGGAAAGAAAAGCAGCAGGUUAAUACCCCGCUGUUCUGACGGUACCCAAAGAAUAAGCACCGGCUAACUUCGUG
RNAcentral lists this ribosomal RNA (492 nucleotides) under uncultured bacterium. RNAcentral's name for it is "partial 16S ribosomal RNA". It matches the Rfam family "Bacterial small subunit ribosomal RNA", at positions 29 to 507 of the family's 1533-position model. The record is from RNAcentral.